RNAcentral lists this ribosomal RNA (787 nucleotides) under uncultured archaeon. RNAcentral describes it as "bacterial SSU rRNA". It matches the Rfam family "Archaeal small subunit ribosomal RNA", at positions 85 to 879 of the family's 1478-position model. The record is from RNAcentral.
ACGGCUCAGUAACACGUAGCUAACCUGCCCUUAAGUCGAGGAUACUCUCGGGAAACUGAGGUUAAUACUCGAUAGGAGAUGUACCCUGGAAUGAUUCAUCUCUCAAAUUCGAGCUUAAGGAUGGGGCUGCGGCGGAUUAGGUUGUUGGCGGGGUAAUGGCCCACCAAGCCGAUGAUCCGUAAGGGCUCUUAGCGGAGAGGCCCUGAGAGGGAAUCUUAGACACUAUUCCCAGCCCUACGGGGUGCAGCAGUUAGGAAUCUUCUGCAAUGCGCGCAAGCGUGACAGAUUGAGCCAGAGUGCUUUUCAAUUGAAAAGCUUUUGCCAAAUGUAAAAAGUUUGGCGAAUAAGGACUGGGUAAGACGAGUGCCAGCCGCCGCGGUAAUACUCGCGGUCCAAGUCGCAGCCAUCUUUAUUGGGUAUAAAACAUCCGUAGCUUGUUUAAUAAGUUUCUUGUGAAAUUUCAUAUCUUAAAUAUGAAGCGUGCAAGAAGUACUGUUGAACUAGAGACUGGAAGACGUAAGAAGUAUGUCUGGAGUAGCGGUAAAAUGUGUUAAUCCCAGACAGACUACCAACAGCGAAGGCAUCUUACGAGGACAGUUCUGACAGUAAGGGAUGAAGGCUAGGGGCGCAAAACGGAUUAGAUACCCGUGUAGUCCUAGCAGUAAACACUGCACACUAAACAUCAGUACCUCCUCGCGAGGUAUUGGUGCUGAAGAGAAGUCAAAGAGUGUGCUACCUGGGAAGUAUAGUCGCAAGGCCGAAACUUAAAGAAUUGGCGGGGGAGCAC